UGACCUCGGAUCAGGUAGGAAUACCCGCUGAACUUAAGCAUAUCAAUAAGCGGAGGAAAAGAAACCAACAGGGAUUGCCUUAGUAACGGCGAGUGAAGCGGCAACAGCUCAAAUUUGAAAUCUGGCCCCCAGGCCCGAGUUGUAAUUUGUAGAGGAUGCUUCUGGCGACGCGCCUUCCGAGUUCCCUGGAACGGGACGCCAUAGAGGGUGAGAGCCCCGUACGGUCGUGCGCCUAGCCUCUGUGUAGCUCCUUCGACGAGUCGAGUAGUUUGGGAAUGCUGCUCUAAAUGGGAGGUAUACGUCUUCUAAAGCUAAAUACCGGCCAGAGACCGAUAGCGCACAAGUAGAGUGAUCGAAAGAUGAAAAGCACUUUGAAAAGAGGGUUAAAUAGUACGUGAAAUUGCUGAAAGGGAAGCGCUUAUGACCAGACUUGGGCUUGGUGAAUCAUCCGGCGUUCUCGCCGGUGCACUUUGCCUGUCCAGGCCAGCAUCAGUUCGUCCCGGGGGAUAAAGGCUUCGGGAAUGUAGCUCUUUCGGGAGUGUUAUAGACCGUUGCGUAAUACCCUGGGGUGGACUGAGGUACGCGUUCUGCAAGGAUGCUGGCGUAAUGGUCAUCAGUGACCCGUCUUGAACAACGGACCAA
This 642-nucleotide ribosomal RNA is filed under the name Geosmithia sp. CCF3645. RNAcentral's name for it is "eukaryotic LSU rRNA". It matches the Rfam family "Eukaryotic large subunit ribosomal RNA", at positions 1 to 669 of the family's 3401-position model. The record is from RNAcentral. Lineage: Eukaryota; Fungi; Ascomycota; Sordariomycetes; Hypocreales; Bionectriaceae.